Molecule: ribosomal RNA, 497 nt
Filed under: uncultured bacterium
Lineage: Bacteria
Description: partial 16S ribosomal RNA
Rfam family: Bacterial small subunit ribosomal RNA
Source: RNAcentral
CGAACGCUGGCGGCGUGCCUAAUACAUGCAAGUCGAGCGAAGUUUUUCUGGUGCUUGCACUAGAAAAACUUAGCGGCGAACGGGUGAGUAACACGUAAAGAACCUGCCUCAUAGACUGGGACAACUAUUGGAAACGAUAGCUAAUACCGGAUAACAGCAUUAACUGCAUGGUUGAUGUUUAAAAGUUGGUUUUGCUAACACUAUGAGAUGGCUUUGCGGUGCAUUAGCUAGUUGGUGGGGUAAAGGCCUACCAAGGCGACGAUGCAUAGCCGACCUGAGAGGGUGAUCGGCCACACUGGGACUGAGACACGGCCCAGACUCCUACGGGAGGCAGCAGUAGGGAAUCUUCCGCAAUGGGCGAAAGCCUGACGGAGCAACGCCGCGUGAGUGAAGAAGGAUUUCGGUUCGUAAAGCUCUGUUGUUAGGGAAGAAUGAUUGUGUAGUAACUAUACACAGUAGAGACGGUACCUAACCAGAAAGCCACGGCUAACUACGUG